CCAUCAUGUUUCUUUUCAAACCCCAUGAAGACGGAUCCUCUUUGGUUUAUUUUGAAGAAAAUCGUGCACCAAGAAGAUGUCGAAGAGAAGGCUGAAGUUUUUGUUUGAAACCAGGGAAAGAUCCGGUGAAAUUUCACAUUUUUUUACGUUUUCGAGGAGGCUGAAGGGGUUUGUUCGAAAAUCAUGUUAAAGAAGAUGUUGAAGAUGAUUCAAAAGAUGUUUGAUGUUGAACAUAGUUACGAAAUGUAA
Molecule: long non-coding RNA, 249 nt
Filed under: Helianthus annuus (common sunflower)
Lineage: Eukaryota; Viridiplantae; Streptophyta; Magnoliopsida; Asterales; Asteraceae
Description: sRNA HanXRQr2_Chr13g0609071
Source: RNAcentral